AUUGAACGCUGGCGGCAGGCCUAACACAUGCAAGUCGAGCGGAUGAAGGGAGCUUGCUCCUGGAUUCAGCGGCGGACGGGUGAGUAAUGCCUAGGAAUCUGCCUGGUAGUGGGGGAUAACGUCCGGAAACGGGCGCUAAUACCGCAUACGUCCUGAGGGAGAAAGUGGGGGAUCUUCGGACCUCACGCUCUCAGAUGAGCCUAGGUCGGAUUAGCUAGUUGGUGGGGUAAAGGCCUACCAAGGCGACGAUCCGUAACUGGUCUGAGAGGAUGAUCAGUCACACUGGAACUGAGACACGGUCCAGACUCCUAUGGGAGGCAGCAGUGGGGAAUAUUGGACAAAGGGCGAAAGCCUGAUCCAGCCAUGCCGCGUGUGUGAAGAAGGUCUUCGGAUUGUAAAGCACUUUAAGUUGGGAGGAAGGGCAGUAAGUUAAUACCUUGCUGUUUUGACGUUACCAACAGAAUAAGCACCGGCUAACUUCGUG
RNAcentral lists this ribosomal RNA (484 nucleotides) under uncultured bacterium. RNAcentral's name for it is "partial 16S ribosomal RNA". It matches the Rfam family "Bacterial small subunit ribosomal RNA", at positions 30 to 507 of the family's 1533-position model. The record is from RNAcentral.